AGGACGAACGCUGGCGGCGUGCUUAACACAUGCAAGUCGAGCGGUAAGGCUCCUUCGGGAGUACACGAGCGGCGAACGGGUGAGUAACACGUGAGCAAUCUGCCCUUCACUCUGGGAUAACCCCCGGAAACGGGAGCUAAUACCGGAUACGACCACCUCAGGCAUCUGAUGGUGGUGGAAAGUUCCGGCGGUGAAGGAUGAGCUCGCGGCCUAUCAGCUUGUUGGUGAGGUAAUGGCUCACCAGGCUUCGG
RNAcentral lists this ribosomal RNA (251 nucleotides) under uncultured bacterium. RNAcentral's name for it is "partial small subunit ribosomal RNA". It matches the Rfam family "Bacterial small subunit ribosomal RNA", at positions 26 to 279 of the family's 1533-position model. The record is from RNAcentral.